RNAcentral lists this transfer RNA (96 nucleotides) under Fidelibacterota bacterium. RNAcentral describes it as "tRNA-Sec". It matches the Rfam family "Selenocysteine transfer RNA". The record is from RNAcentral. Lineage: Bacteria; Pseudomonadati; Fidelibacterota.
GGGAAUGAGUGUACGGCUGGUGCCUGCCACGGUCUUCAACACCGCUGUCCCGAUGAUAAAUCGGGAGCUGGGUUCGAUUCCCAGGCGUUCCCGCCA